Molecule: ribosomal RNA, 465 nt
Filed under: uncultured bacterium
Lineage: Bacteria
Description: partial 16S ribosomal RNA
Rfam family: Bacterial small subunit ribosomal RNA
Source: RNAcentral
GACGAACGCUGGCGGCGUGCUUAACACAUGCGAGUCGAACGGAAAGGCCCCUUCGGGGGUACUCGAGUGGCGAACAGGUGAGUAACACGUGAGUAACCUGCCCUUGACUUCGGGAUAACUUCAGGAAACUGGGGCUAAUACCGGAUAGGAAUCCUUGCUGCAUGGUGGGGGUUGGAAAGCUUCGGCGGUUUUGGAUGGACUCGCGGCUUAUCAGCUUGUUGGUGGGGUAGUGGCUUACCAAGGCUUUGACGGGUAGCCGGCCUGAGAGGGCGACCGGCCACAUUGGGACUGAGAUACGGCCCAGACUCCUACGGGAGGCAGCAGUGGGGAAUAUUGCACAAUGGGCGGAAGCCUGAUGCAGCAACGCCGCGUGCGGGAUGACGGCCUUCGGGUUGUAAACCGCUUUCAGCAGGGGCGAAGCUUGUGGUGACGGUACCUGCAGAAGAAGCACCGGCUAACUACGUG